Molecule: ribosomal RNA, 590 nt
Filed under: uncultured Bacillus sp.
Lineage: Bacteria; Bacillati; Bacillota; Bacilli; Caryophanales; Bacillaceae
Description: bacterial SSU rRNA
Rfam family: Bacterial small subunit ribosomal RNA
Source: RNAcentral
CCUACGGGAAGCAGCAGUAGGGAAUCAUCCGCAAUGGGCGAAAGCCUGACGGUGCAACGCCGCGUGAACGAUGACGGCCUUCGGAUUGUAAAGUUCUGUUGUUAGGGAAGAAACCGUACCGAUCGAAUAGGUCGGUACCUUGACGGUACCUAACCAGAAAGCCCCGGCUAACUACGUGCCAGCAGCCGCGGUAAUACGUAGGGGGCAAGCGUUGUCCGGAAUUAUUGGGCGUAAAGCGCGCGCAGGCGGUCUCUUAAGUCUGAUGUGAAAGCCCACGGCUCAACCGUGGAGGGUCAUUGGAAACUGGGAGACUUGAGUGUAGAAGAGGAAAGUGGAAUUCCACGUGUAGCGGUGAAAUGCGUAGAUAUGUGGAGGAACACCAGUGGCGAAGGCGACUUUCUGGCCUGCAACUGACGCUGAGGCGCGAAAGCGUGGGGAGCAAACAGGAUUAGAUACCCUGGUAGUCCACGCCGUAAACGAUGAGUGCUAGGUGUUAGGGGUUUCGAUGCCCUUAGUGCCGAAGUUAACACAUUAAGCACUCCGCCUGGGGAGUACGGCCGCAAGACUGAAACUCAAAGGAAAUUGACGGA